UGUCAGCUGACCCGGAAGUGGCGGCGGCGCAGGGCGAUGGCGGAGAAGUUCGACUCGCUGGAGGAGCAGCUGGAGAAGUUCGUGGAGAACAUCCGGCAGCUCGGCAUCAUCGUCAGCGACUUCCAGCCCAGCAGCCAGGCCGGGCUCAACCAGAAGCUGAAUUUUAUGGUUACCGGCUUGCAAGAUAUUGACAAGUGCCGACAGCAACUUCACGAUAUAAGCGUACCUUUAGAGGUUUUUGAAUACAUAGAUCAAGGCCGUAAUCCCCAGCUUUACACUAAAGAGUGUUUGGAAAGGGCGUUGGCUAAAAAUGAACAAGUAAAAGGCAAAAUUGACACUAUGAAGAAAUUUAAAAGCUUAUUGAUUCAAGAGCUGACUAAAGUCUUCCCAGAGGACAUGGCCAAGUACAAAGCUAUUCGAGGAGAAGAACCUCCUCCUUAAGACUGCCUUUGAGAUCAAGAGGAGAUGCUGGAUAAGAACAAAAUGGAAGAAUGAGCCAGCUUGGACCCUUGGAUGAACAGUAGCUUGAACUUUGCAGUACAGCAGGUUAAGUCCUUGGAUCUCGCAGGGGCCUAGGAGGUGGUGAUAAUAGAAAUGCAGUACCCCCACAGCUGGAACAAUAUCAAUGAAGCUACCCUUCUGAAAUUGCCUUUGGCGAGAAGAAAUGGAGUUUCAACCUGUGACAAGGCUAUCACUUGUCCAUACCCAAAUUACUGGAUUAUAUGAAUAAUACUAUGGCUAAUCAUUCAGGGGAACUACCAGAGGUGGUUAUGAAAUAUGACCCUGUGGGUACAAAAGUUAGACUUAAAUCUUCUGAUGUUGCUUAUGCUUUUUCUAUAGGCAGGAAGCUAGCUAAUAUCUGUUUUUCCUAUAACUGUUAACUCCUUUUUGUUUCCCUAGCAAGUGUUUUGCAACCCUGUUCUUACCCCUAGCAUAAUCCCCUCUCAAACCCUGCACAUUCCCCUUUUACAUCCCUUUGUCUGUGCAAUCUUGCUACCCAUGCCUAGUCACAUAUGUUUAUGCUACAGGUUAACCCUUGAGAAACUUUCACAUUUUUAAUGUCUUAUGUAUGCCUUUUGCCCUCUGGAGGUCCGGCGUUGCAGCUACCAAGACAAAACCAUCUAUCACCUCUCUCUUAAGAAUGAUAAUCCACAAAGAGCUUUAACAAAUCUGUCACUGUUUCUGAAGAAUGUUUCACCAAACAUUUCACCUGAAAACAUUUUUGUAGUGUAAACUUUCAGUCCCUGUUUUUUUUUAUCCACAACCCCUAAAGCACAUGCUCUGGGUUUGUGAAUCUUUGUGUUUUCACUCGGUUUUCUCAGGGCUUAGUGGGGUGUUGACCACUGAAGAACUGGAGGUGUGUUAGCAUUGUUGCUUGUUAUCACUGUUUUUGUUUUGUCUUUUGACUUGAUGUAUCUGAGCAUUGGACUGUCUUGAUGCUUUGCCUGUGCUCUUCUGCAGCUUUGUGGUGGCAUUGUUGUUACAUUUAACUCUAUAAUUUCUCUUUCUCACUAAAACCCACCCAUGCCUAUGUGUUUGCUUAAAAACAAAAUCCCUUAAAUGACCAAACAAAUAACAUGUAUUAACUGGGGUUCAACCUAGUAAGCUGUUGAUGCUAGAGCAUUUUCCUUUUCAGCUGUCUCUUUCUUGUUUCUUUUGAGCUUGUUUACAUGACAGUCAAAGGGUCUCUCCUGAUAACAUUAUUACAAAACUACCACAUUCUGGGGUGCAACCCAGAACAGUGA
RNA transcript from Chelonia mydas (Green sea turtle), 1745 nucleotides. It is a transcript of the gene named mediator complex subunit 10, with no coding region annotated. The record is from RefSeq and is a predicted model, not a curated record. The transcript is spliced from 6 exons. Lineage: Eukaryota; Metazoa; Chordata; Testudines; Cheloniidae.